This 174-nucleotide non-coding RNA is filed under the name human gut metagenome. The record is from RNAcentral.
UGUGGCUGCGAUGAAAAGGGAAUCAGGUGAAAAUCCUGAACAGACGGUGCUGCUGUAAUUCUCCACCACAAAGCCAUUCACACAAGCCACUGGUUGUGAUCGCCACAACGUUGCAUCACGACCGGGAAGGCAUGAACAGGCUGGAGAAAAGUCAGAAGACCUGCCAAGUCUUGA